Long non-coding RNA from Brienomyrus brachyistius, 1341 nucleotides. RefSeq lists it as uncharacterized. The transcript is spliced from 2 exons. Lineage: Eukaryota; Metazoa; Chordata; Actinopteri; Osteoglossiformes; Mormyridae. The record is from RefSeq and is a predicted model, not a curated record.
CGCACUGCACCCGGCACUCCUCUGUCUGCUUCAGCGUCUCCUUCAGGCACUCCCUCCAUUCCUCCACUGCACGGGGCCAUUCAGAGGAGGACUCCGAAAGCACUGCCGAGUCAUACAGUGACUGAGCGAGGCAGCCGGCCUCCUCCGUCACUCCUUUCAUUCGCCUGUACUUCUCCAAGUUGUUCCUCAUCUCAAGGUGGUUUGGGUUGGCCACAAAGAAAGUGUGAGCCGCAGAUACGGCCCUGUGCACCCUCCCCAGCUGGGGGCGUAACACACAACUGAUUUUACAGAAAUAUAGUCAAUCAAGAGUGCAGAGUUCAUCACAUACACUGCUGGGCUUAAUUGCCGUACAAUAAUGGUAUUUAAUGUCUUUUCAGCAAUAUGUGCAAAUGAUACAAAUGGCUACCUGUACAUGUAAUGACUUCUUAUCGAGCUGCAUUAUCUAAUUGGCUGACAGGCCCAUAGGUUUGUACAGAUUUUCUUACAAUGUAUUUAUUCUUCUGCGAAGGGUGGUAGACCAGUGUUUUCAGUGAAAAAAGGGAAAUUAGCAGCUGUGUGUCCCCAUAACCUGGUUGAGUAAUUCAAUUUGAGUAGAUGGGUGUGGAGAGGUAACAGGCUCCACUGGGUGGAGGGGGUUGUGCUGAAGGGCAGAAGAUACACUGCAUACAUAUGCAGGCCUGAACUGGUGGCUACCUUGUAGUACGUGACCUGCAGGAAGUUAUAGGGGUUGCGGAUGCCAAACUCAUACAGGAUGUCCUCAGAGACCGGGAGCAGGGCUGCUGGGCUGAUUGCUUGAGUGAGACAGUGCUGGACACACUCAGCCCUCCGCUGGACCCAAUCCAGAGCCCAUAAGUCCCACAAACUGCCCUUCUCAGCAUCUGAAGUGGUAUAUGUAAGAAAUAAAUGAUCUAAGUGCUACAUUAGUCACAAAUCCAAAAUUCAUUACAAAGCUGCAGCUCUCCUCAUCUUAUUAUAACAUUAAAACAUUAAAAAGUGAGUUAAGUUGUAUCAUGCAUGCGUUGUGUUGUGUAUAAAUAUCCAUGUAAGUUAUCCGUGAACCAUACGAGUGCUGUAACAGCAGGUAAAUGAAAACGAUUUUCUGCAACCUGAAUUUACAGGCAUACACAUGCACACAAACAUCAAAUACCCAGUUUAGGCAGCCGGUCGUGUCCAGCUGUGACACAGCUGUCGUGACAUUUUCGACGUGUCUGGAAAAGUGACUCCCGGGAUGCGAUCGACUUCUCUAUCAGCUCCGCCGCUUUCUCCCACUCUUUCCUGAAAUAAGCCCGGACCCCCGUAUAAUACAGGGCAUCAUAAGGGUCUAUAGGGCCACUCGUUGAU